AAAAAAACAAGUAUAAAUAGUAUGUUUUUUCUAACCCUAAAUCUAAAUGCAUUCUCAGCCACCCCCUCUCUGUCUCUCAUUUCUCAAAUCUUACAUGGUCUUUGUCUCUCAUCUCUCAAAUUUGUCUUCAUCUCUUCCAAUCUUCCAUGCUCUUUGUCUCUCAUCUCUCAACUCUGUCUUCUUUUUCUCCAUGCAUUCUCAGUCCUGUGUCAAUUUGGGUCUCUCCCUCUUCUCCAAAGGACAGGUAAUGGAUUCUUUUGGGUUUCUUGAAUUUUGCUGAUUCUUUCUCAUUUAUUUUACAGGGAAAGAUGCAACAAACGAUUUUGAAGAUGUGGGUCACAACGAUGAUGCUAGAGAGAUGAUGGAAAAGUAUGACAAUAUUGGUGAGGUAGAUGUAACAACAGUCCCAACGAAACGCCUCUACGUAGCACCAGGUUUGGAAGGAACAAACCCUAAAGACAAGAAGCCUGGGUUUCUAAUUAAGAUCUGCAACUACUCGUGCCACUCCUGAUCUUGGGCUUGACUCUUGCUGUCCGAACCUACACCAAGAAAGAGUAGAGGCUAUGAUUUAUCAGGAUCUACCCUUUUGAGGGGUUAAAUGGGGAUUCAAUCCCUUGCGUUGUGUUUGUGCUGAAGAUGCUUUAGUUCAGUAUAAAAAAUAAAAGUGCUGAAAAAUGUGGUUAAUAAAAAGCCUAGAAAAAACUCAACCGGAAUAAUUUCGGUUUGAACCGGUUUGGAAAGGAAAAAAACCGAACCGAAAUUAAUUAAUUUGAACCGGUUUUCGGUUCGGUUCAAAAACUAAAAAAAAAAUUGGUUUGGUUGUUUAUUUUGAUCCAAAAUCAGACCAAACUGAAAAUACUCAGCCCUACUAACUAAUGUAAGGAUAACUUUAAUCCUUAUUCUCGAACAAAUAAAUAAAUAAAAUCAAACAUUAUCUAUGGAUUUGUUUGGAUUAUUUCCAUACAUUUUUCUCAUUGAAUUUACAUAGAAACCUUACAAAGGGAUUGGGAAUAAAUGUACUAUAGACUAAAUAUAUCCCUCCCUCUUACAUCUUAUUUUCAUGUCCAAAUAUGUGAAAUUGUGAAUGCACUUCUACAUGUAGAAAAUUUUCAAAUCAAUUUCAAGUUAAGGAAAGUAAAAUAAAAUCUUGGAUUGAAGAUUCACUCUGAGUUCUGUACAUUUAAGAAAUAAAAUAUGACUAAGAAAAAUGCAAUGCAUAGUAGAAAAACCAAACAUCGAUACUUAAACUCCCCUAAUUUAUAAAUAUUUAUUGCCUAAUAUCUAUUUAAGUUGUUUUGUAAUGAAAAAUAUGGGCCUUCCAAAACUUAUAUAAAACUCAAGCCAAAAAAAUCCAGCAAGUACCUUGUUAAAUGUUAACCACAUGUUUCACUGUUCCACACUGUCGAACGUUUGAUUCCAAGAAACUCCUUGUAACGUGUCCGUUUCUUCUCCACUAGCAUA
RNAcentral lists this long non-coding RNA (1461 nucleotides) under Populus trichocarpa (black cottonwood). RNAcentral's name for it is "long non-coding RNA (PTRI_LNC002063)". Lineage: Eukaryota; Viridiplantae; Streptophyta; Magnoliopsida; Malpighiales; Salicaceae. The record is from RNAcentral.